CGAUACGACCGUACCGCAAACCGACACUGGUGCGCGAGAUGAGUAUUCUAAGGCGCUUGAGAGAACUCAGGAGAAGGAGCUCGGCAAAUUGACACCGUAACUUCGGAAGAAGGUGUGCCCUAUUAGUGUGUAGUGAACAACGAAGCAUGAAUGGGUUGCAAAAAAUCGGUGGCUGCGACUGUUUAUUAAAAACACAGCACUCUGCAAACACGAAAGUGGACGUAUAGGGUGUGACGCCUGCCCGGUGCUGGAAGAUUAAAUGAUGGGGUGCAAGCUCUUGAUUGAAGUCCCAGUAAACGGCGGCCGUAACAAUAACGGUCCUAAGGUAGCGAAAUUCCUUGUCGGGUAAGUUCCGACCUGCACGAAUGGCGUAACGAUGGCCACACUGUCUCCACCUGAGACUCAGCGAAGUUGAAAUGUUUGUGAUGAUGCAAUCUCCCCGCGGAAAGACGGAAAGACCCCAUGAACCUUUACUGUAGCUUUGCAUUGGACUUUGAACAGAUCUGUGUAGGAUAGGUGGGAGGCUUUGAAGCAGGGUCGCUAGAUCUUGUGGAGCCAACGUUGAAAUACCACCCUGGUGUGUUUGAGGUUCUAACCUAGGUCCAUUACCUGGAUCGGGGACAGUGCAUGGUAGGCAGUUUGACUGGGGCGGUCUCCUCCCAAAGCGUAACGGAGGAGUUCGAAGGUACGCUAGUUACGGUCGGACAUCGUGACGAUAGUGCAAUGGCAUAAGCGUGCUUAACUGCGAGACUGACAAGUCGAGCAGAUGCGAAAGCAGGACAUAGUGAUCCGGUGGUUCUGUAUGGUAGGGCCAUCGCUCAACGGAUAAAAGGUACUCUGGGGAUAACAGGCUGAUACCGCCCAAGAGUUCAUAUCGACGGCGGUGUUUGGCACCUCGAUGUCGGCUCAUCUCAUCCUGGGGCUGUAGCCGGUCCCAAGGGUAUGGCUGUUCGCCAUUUAAAGAGGUACGUGAGCUGGGUUUAAAACGUCGUGAGACAGUUUGGUCCCUAUCUUCCGUGGGCGCUGCAGAUUUGAGGAAGCCUGCUCCUAGUACGAGAGGACCGGAGUGGACACACCUCUGGUGUAUCGGUUGUCACGCCAGUGGCAUUGCCGAGUAGCUAAGUGUGGAAGAGAUAACCGCUGAAAGCAUCUAAGCGGGAAACUCGUUUCAAGAUGAGAUCUGCCGGGGCCUUGAGCCCCCUAAAGAGUCGUUCAAGACCAGGACGUUGAUAGGUCAGGUGUGGAAGC
RNAcentral lists this ribosomal RNA (1248 nucleotides) under metagenome. RNAcentral describes it as "bacterial LSU rRNA". It matches the Rfam family "Bacterial large subunit ribosomal RNA", at positions 1634 to 2874 of the family's 2925-position model. The record is from RNAcentral.